This is a long non-coding RNA of Oryzias melastigma (Indian medaka), 1325 nucleotides long. RefSeq lists it as uncharacterized. The transcript is spliced from 2 exons. The record is from RefSeq and is a predicted model, not a curated record. NCBI's taxonomy places the organism in Eukaryota, Metazoa, Chordata, Actinopteri, Beloniformes, Adrianichthyidae.
AGGUCGAAUACACAUACGAAUACCACGGUCAUCCUCCAAUAAACGAAAAAGAUCGGUGGUCCUGCCAGACAACAUGAAAAUAGUACAGUCUAAAGCUGCCAAUUGUCAUGGUGCCUCUGUCAGUCUCUUCCCCCUCUCCUCUCCACCCGACUGCUGAUCAUCCCCAGCUGCGACCACUCACCUCAUCACCCUCGGCUGCCUACUUAAGGAGCUCCAGGACCUUCAUUCCCCGCCAGUCUGUUGCCCCUGAUGGAAUCUCCUACCACGAGUGGUCGCGUUUCUUCCUCUGCCCGGAUCUCCAGUUGGGUCUCCUCUCCACGGUCACACCACGAGCCUCUGCCUCUGUUCCACGUUCCUGCUUCCAAGACGGCCUUCUCCCUCUUAGAGGACAAGAUCGCCAAUUACGCCUACUGCCUCUGCCUCCUGCUCGGAGUCCACUUCCUGUCCUGUUCAGGAUCCUACCUCCUCGCCUCACUAUUAAAGCCGUUACCUACCACGCUAACUUUCUGCUGUGUUUCUUCCGGGUUCCAGCGUCUGGGUCGUUACGUGUUCUGUAGCCAUGACACCAAUAACUUUACAAGAUCAUCCUAAACAUUCUGUAUUGAAAGUGAACGUGCGCAGAUCUUCCUAAAAUGUUUUCUAGAAGUUCUCCUUUAUUAACUGACAGUUAUAAUCUACUUGUGAAAAGUCACAUUCUUUUUUUUCCAGCUCUGUUGGUGCAAUUGUAACACAGCAGUUAACAGGCAUCUCGCCUUAUCCAGUAUGGCAUACAACUUUGCAUUUGCUACAAGCAAGCAUAGUGACUCUAGCUUAUAUGGCUCAAAAACAAACAACCACUUACAUUCACAUUUGAUCUUAUUCCACAAAUGGGAAUAUAAUAUAAAAACAGAAUAUUUUGAUCCAUCCUUUUUUUCUUAACUCGCUUUAAUCCUUUCGUGGUCACGAGGCUGCCAGGGCCUGUUCCAGGGUCACACACUCACUCACAUCCAGGGGCAAUUUAGAGACACCAAACAACCCAUGAAGCAUGUUUUUAGACUGUGGGAGGAAACCAGAAUACCCAGAGACAAUCCACGCAAGCACAAGGAGAAUAUGCAAACUCCAAACAGAAAUCCUUACCCUGGAAUUUGAACUAGGGCCUUCUUGCUGCGAGGUAAGAGCAUUAACCACUGUGUCAUUGUGCAAGAUAGUUCUCAUCUUUAGAACAUAGCAAGAGUCUGACUGUUUUUCUCUCUAGGCAGCACAGAGACACCAAUGCAUGCCUUGAUUUCUAGUAGAAUAGUUAAUGUGAUGCCCUGCUUUCUAGUUUCUCCAAAAAAAAAAAAAAA